AGUUGAUCCUGGCUCAGAACGAACGUUAGCGGCGCGUUUAUGCAUGCAAGUCGAGCGGUGCGGGGCUCGGUCCCGCAUAGCGGCGGACUGGUGAGUAACACGUGGAUAAUCUGCCUUGCAGUCGGGAAUAUCCCAUGGAAACAUGGUGCAAUACCGGAUACGAACGUCGGCGCACAAGCGCUGGCGAGGAAAGGGGCCAAGGCCCUGCUGCGAGAUGAGUCCGCGUCCCAUUAGCUAGAUGGCGGGGUAAAGGCCCACCAUGGCUGUGAUGGGUAGCCGGCCUGAGAGGGUGAACGGCCACAUUGGGACUGAGAUACGGCCCAGACUUCUACGGGAGGCAGCAGCAAAGAAUCUUCCGCAAUGGACGAAAGUCUGACGGAGCGACGCCGCGUUGAGCGAUGAAGGCCGCAAGGUUGUAAAGCUCUUUUCGGGGGGAAGAAUAAUGCCGGCAGGGAAUGGCCGGCGGAUGACAUCAACCCCGGAAUAAGGUCCGGCUAACUACGUGCCAGCCGCUGC
RNAcentral lists this ribosomal RNA (516 nucleotides) under uncultured bacterium. RNAcentral describes it as "bacterial SSU rRNA". It matches the Rfam family "Bacterial small subunit ribosomal RNA", at positions 10 to 518 of the family's 1533-position model. The record is from RNAcentral.